This 498-nucleotide ribosomal RNA is filed under the name uncultured bacterium. RNAcentral's name for it is "bacterial SSU rRNA". It matches the Rfam family "Bacterial small subunit ribosomal RNA", at positions 28 to 511 of the family's 1533-position model. The record is from RNAcentral.
GAUGAACGCUAGCUACAGGCUUAACACAUGCAAGUCGAGGGGAAACGGCAUCGAGAGCUCGCUCUUGAUGGACGUCGACCGGCGCACGGGUGAGUAACGCGUAUCCAACCUGCCCAUCACUCGGGAAUAACCUCUCGAAAGAGAGCCUAAUGCCCGAUGCAUUCCAUAGAGGACAUCUGAAGUGGAAUAAAGAUUCAUCGGUGACGGAUGGGGAUGCGUCUGAUUAGCUUGUUGGCGGGGUAACGGCCCACCAAGGCGACGAUCAGUAGGGGUUCUGAGAGGAAGGUCCCCCACAUUGGAACUGAGACACGGUCCAAACUCCUACGGGAGGCAGCAGUGAGGAAUAUUGGUCAAUGGGCGAGAGCCUGAACCAGCCAAGUAGCGUGCAGGAUGACGGCCCUAUGGGGUUGUAAACUGCUUUUAUACGGGAAUAAAGUGGGCCACGCGUGGUCUUUUGUCAUGUACCGUAUGAAUAAGGACCGGCUAAUUCCGUGCCAG